This is a small nucleolar RNA of Lolium rigidum, 139 nucleotides long. RefSeq annotates it as small nucleolar RNA Z247. The record is from RefSeq and is a predicted model, not a curated record. The transcript has a single exon. Lineage: Eukaryota; Viridiplantae; Streptophyta; Magnoliopsida; Poales; Poaceae.
AAGAUGGACGAGGACGAUCUGACGGCGUACAUCCUCGCCGGGCUGGAUGCGGAUUGGAAUCCGCUCGUCACGUCGAUGACCACCAGGGCCGAUUCGGUCUCGCUCUCCGAGCACUACGCUCACCUCCUGAACUUUGAGA